AACGAGGCCGACCUGCGGCUGAGUUACCUGCGGAGGGAUCAUUACUGAGGAGGGUCCAUGGCCCGAUCUCCAACCCUUUGAUAAAAACACCAUGUUGCUUUGGCAGGCCCGCCCGUUGGGGCCGCGGGGGAUCGCCGGUCCCUAGCCCGUGCCUGCCGGUAGCCUUCACAAAACUCUCAAAAUGUUGUCGUCUGAGAUGAUUAGAAUAAUAAAACUUUUAACAAUGGAUCUCAGAUCGGA
This 240-nucleotide unclassified non-coding RNA is filed under the name soil metagenome. RNAcentral describes it as "partial contains 5.8S ribosomal RNA, internal transcribed spacer 2, and large subunit ribosomal RNA". The record is from RNAcentral.